RNAcentral lists this ribosomal RNA (1435 nucleotides) under uncultured bacterium. RNAcentral describes it as "bacterial SSU rRNA". It matches the Rfam family "Bacterial small subunit ribosomal RNA". The record is from RNAcentral.
AGAGUUUGAUCCUGGCUCAGGAUUAACGCUAGCGGCGUGCUUUAGGUAUGCAAGUGGAACGAUCCAUCUUCGGAUGGAGAGUCGCGAACGGCUGAGUAACACGUAAGAACUUGCCCCUUGAUGGGAAAUAACCCCGCGAAAGCGGGACUAAUAUCGCAUAGUCUACAUUCAGUAAAAUGGGUGUAGUAAAGGACAUAACUGUUCGUCAGGGGAGGGGCUUGCGGCCUAUCAGCUUGUUGGUGAGGUAAUGGCUCACCAAGGCUACGACGGGUAGGGGGCGUGAGAGCGUGUACCCCCAGAAUGGCACUGAGACACGGGCCAUACACCUACGGGUGGCGCAACCGGGAAUCGUGCGCAAUGGACGAAAGUCUGACGCCGCGACGCCGCGUGAGGGAUGAAUGCCUUUGGGUUGUAAACCUCUUUUGACCUUAGAGAGAUCGAAGGUAGAAUAAGCACCGGCUAACUACGUGCCAGCAGCAGCGGUAAAACGUAGGGUGCAAGCGUUGUCCGGAUUUAUUGGGCGUAAAGAGUUCGUAGGCUUUCCGAAAAGUUACAUUUUAAAUACCAGAGCUUAACUUUGGCACGGGGUGUAAUACUGUCGGAAUUGGAAGGUUUCGGGGCUACUGGAACUUAUCAUGUAGGAGUGAAAUCCGUUGAUAUGAUAAAGAACACCGAGGGCGAAGGCAGGUAGCUAGGAACACUUUGACGCUGAGGGACGAAAGCUAGGGUAGCAAAAGGGAUUAGAGACCCCUGUAGUCCUAGCCGUAAACGAUGCUCGCUAGGGAUGGGAAGCUUUGCUUUCCGUCUCGCAAGCUAACGCGUUAAGCGAGCCGCCUGGGGAGUACGAGCGCAAGCUUAAAACUCAAAGGAAUUGACGGGGACCCGCACAACCAGUGGAGCAUGUGGUUUAAUUCGAGACGAACCGAAGAACCUUACCUGGGUUUGACAUUCUACCUGCGAGCCAGUGGAAACACAGGAGGCCUUAGAGGGUGGUAGAACAGGUGGUGCAUGGCUGUCGUCAGCUCGUGCCGUGGGGUGUUCCCUUCAGUGGGGUAACGAGCGCAACCCCUGCCGUAUGUUAAAUAUUCAUACGGGACUGAUCGCCUGAGUGCGAUAGGAAGUGGGGACGACGUCAAGUCAGCAUGUCCCUUAUAUCCAGGGCUACACACAUGCUACAAUGGAGCCGACAAAGGGUUGCCAAGCAGUAAUGCGGAGCUAAUCCCAUAAACGGCUUCUCAGUUGGGAUUGAGGGCUGCAAUUCGCCCUCAUGAACGUGGAAUUGGUAGUAAUCGCGAAUCAGCCAAGUCGCGGUGAAUACGUUCUCGGGUCUUGUACACACCGCCCGUCAAGUUAGUGAAGUUGGGGGCACCCGAACCUCUGUUGUACAGGGGGAAGGUGAAACCAGCGACAAGAAUUAAGUCGUAACAAGGUAACC